RNAcentral lists this ribosomal RNA (1439 nucleotides) under uncultured bacterium. Its description in RNAcentral is "bacterial SSU rRNA". It matches the Rfam family "Bacterial small subunit ribosomal RNA". The record is from RNAcentral.
AGGGUUUGAUCAUGGCUCAGAACGUACGCUGGCGGCACGCCUAACACAUGCAAGUCGAACGAAGUAGCAAUACUUAGUGGCAGACGGGUGAGUAACAUGUAGGUAUCUGCCCUUUGGCCUGGAAUAACACGAGGAAACUUGUGCUAAUACCGGAUAAGUCUUUACGGAGAAAGCUUUAUGCACCAUUGGAUGAGCCUGCACUUGAUUAGUUUGUUGGUGGGGUAAUGGCCUACCAAGACUGUGAUCAAUAGCUGAUUUGAGAGGAUGAUCAGCCACAUUGGGACUGAGACACGGCCCAAACUCCUACGGGAGGCAGCAGUGGGGAAUCUUGCACAAUGGAGGAAACUCUGAUGCAGCGAUGCCGCGUGAGUGAAGAAGGCCCUUGGGUUGUAAAGCUCUUUCGUCGGGGAAGAAAAUGACUGUACCCGAAUAAGAAGGUCCGGCUAACUUCGUGCCAGCAGCCGCGGUAAUACGAAGGGACCUAGCGUAGUUCGGAAUUACUGGGCUUAAAGAGUUCGUAGGUGGUUGAAAAAGUUGGUGGUGAAAUCCCAGAGCUUAACUCUGGAACUGCCAUCAAAACUUUUCAGCUAGAGUAUGAUAGAGGAAAGCAGAAUUUCUAGUGUAGAGGUGAAAUUCGUAGAUAUUAGAAAGAAUACCAAUUGCGAAGGCAGCUUUCUGGAUCAUUACUGACACUGAGGAACGAAAGCAUGGGUAGCGAAGAGGAUUAGAUACCCUCGUAGUCCAUGCCGUAAACGAUGUGUGUUAGACGUUGGAAAUUUAUUUUCAGUGUCGCAGCGAAAGCGAUAAACACACCGCCUGGGGAGUACGACCGCAAGGUUAAAACUCAAAUGAAUUGACGGGGACCCGCACAAGUAGUGGAGCAUGUGGUUUAAUUCGAAGAUACGCGCAGAACCUUACCAACACUUGACAUGUUCGUCGCGACUUUAAGAGAUUAAAGUUUUCGGUUCGGCCGGACGAAACACAGGUGCUGCAUGGCUGUCGUCAGCUCGUGUCGUGAGAUGUUGGGUUAAGUCCCGCAACGAGCGCAACCCUCACUUUUAGUUGCCAUCAUUUAGUUGGGCACUCUGAAAGAACUGCCAGUGAUAAGCUGGAGGAAGGUGGGGAUGACGUCAAGUCCUCAUGGCCCUUACGUGUUGGGCUACACACGUGCUACAAUGGUAUCUACAACAGGAAGCAAAACUGCGAAGUUAAGCAAAUCCUUAAAAGAUACCUCAGUUCGGAUUGCACUCUGCAACUCGAGUGCAUGAAGCUGGAAUUACUAGUAAUCGUGGAUCAGCGUGCCACGGUGAAUGCGUUCCCGGGUCUUGUACACACCGCCCGUCACACCAUGGGAGUUGGUUCUACCUUAAGGCAAGGUUUCAAACCCUUGACCACGGUAUAGUCAGCGACUGGGGUGAAGUCAUAACAAGGUAGCCGUA